This 382-nucleotide unclassified non-coding RNA is filed under the name uncultured Verrucomicrobiae bacterium. RNAcentral's name for it is "contains 16S-23S intergenic spacer region". The record is from RNAcentral. Lineage: Bacteria; Pseudomonadati; Verrucomicrobiota; Verrucomicrobiia.
UCACCGCUUGCGCGGGCAGUCUCCUGCGAGUCCCCGCCAUUACGCGCUGGCAACACAGGACAAGGGUUGCGCUCGUUGCGGGACUUAACCCAACAUCUCACGACACGAGCUGACGACAGCCAUGCAGCACCUGUGUACGCUGGUAUUGCUACCUCGUCAGACUUUCAUCCUUCUACUACUUGCAUGUCAAGGCCAGGUAAGGUUCUUCGCGUUGCAUCGAAUUAAGCCACAUACUCCACCGCUUGUGCAGGCCCCCGUCAAUUUCUUUGAGUUUUAAUCUUGCGACCGUACUUCCCAGGCGGCUUAUUUAUCGCGUUGGCUACGCCUCAAAAGGGGUCGAUUCCUUUUACAGCAAAUAAGCACCGUUUACGGCUAGGACUAC